UGAUGUAGAUGUUGGAGCAGAAGGAAGCUGAAAGGAAACAGAGGGGCAUUGUGCCCGGAAUGCGGGGAAUCGGCAGCACGCAGCGCAGCGCUGGCGCAGCUCAAACCCGGACAUUAAAACCUACACGUGGGCUUUGAAAAUGCGGAGCGGGAGCGGCUAGCUGCCAUUGAGGCAGGGUCAAAGGACGUGCUUUGAAACAGAUCUCAGCUUCAAGGCUGAAAAAGGGGUUAUGUGAAAAAUCGGGGAACUUGCAGAGAUCUAAUGAAGAGUUGCCUCAGGCAAGAGAAGGAACUACUUAUUUAAAUCCAAAGAGCCUGGAUUUACAACAAGACCAAGUUGAGUUACAGCAGCGAUGUGAGACUGGAAAUAAGGCUUGCACCGAAAAGCUGUACAACAGCCAAACCCAGAGCUGAGUACGUGGCUGAGGGAGGAGAGACUGCAGAAGCGUUUUAGAUGCUUCAUCAGAAGCAGACAGUUGAGAUGCCAAAGCAGCUUUCUCUGGCCUUUGUCCUGCCCUGUGUUUGAGAUGACUGCAGUGAGUCUGGGUGCUGGAGAUUGAGAAGCAGCUUUUCUGUCUAGCCAUUACACAUCGUUCAGACAGACAAUGCUGCUGAAGUGUGAAGUAAUUGAGAGCUGUGCAGGGUGAGUUAUAUCAGCUAAGCUCGAGGCCAGCAGCAUCUGUCACAAGAUCUGGCAACAAGUCAGUCACAUCCCAUGGCUGUGCGAUGGAUCCCAGCAUGGUGAUCACUGAUCCUUUCCCAAUCAUCAGGCUUCUUGCCUUUCUCUAGAGGAGAGCGUGUGGCUCUCAGGAUGCUACCUGCUGUGGCCACAUAGGUUUCCAAGGGACACCAGCCAGAUGGGUAAGUCAAACUCGUCCUGUCAUACUUUAAAAAAUAGCCUGAUGAAAUGCCUGCCCACCCAGCUAGGAGCGGUGAGAGUCCCUCCCAGGUCAGGAUGCUGAUCUGGUUGAAACCUAAGAACUACCCUCCCAUCUCCUCCAGUUAAUAAAGAUGUGGACAAUGGUGCAACUGCACUUUCUCUGGGAGUCAGAAGGACAUAAAUUCUUUGUGGCAAAGGACACUGACUGUGCAGAUGCAGGAGUCACCUCCCACAUCCCACACACGGGGUUUCUACCCCUUUUGAGAGAGUUUAACCAAAACUAUUCUGUUGCUCUAACAACACACCCUUCAUCAAUCUGCCAGUUUCACUUGUCCGGUGCAGCUAUUCCCAGAGCACAGACCUCAAGGCACUGCUGUACCCACCAGCCUGUGUUUGCAGCUGCCUGUCAGACAGUGAUUCCUAACGUGGUAGUAAAAUUAUUAACAUUUAACAUUUGAGAGGUCUGGAUGACGAGUUUAACCCAGUGAAAAGAACGUUCCUUUCAGCUGAAAGCUAACAGUCCGCAGCUGUUCCCAGCUCCCCACUUCUGAGCUAAGAUAAUACAGGGCAUCUCAUCCCUAGUGGACUCCACCAAGAGCCCUCUCUCCAUUUCUUCAUGUUAUUUGCCACUUGAUUCCUUCUUGCAACUGCAGUAGUUGAAACAAUUGUUUUUCCUCACAUAUUUGUUUGGUGGAUUUUGGUUUUGUUUUGUUUGUCUGUUUGUUUGUUUCUGAAACCAUAUACAGGUUGGGUAUCUGCAACCACCUGACAGGCAGCAGCAGAGCAGAGGAGAGGAUGCUGUCUGAGCAUUCUGGCACCAGGAUACUAGUUAUUAAAAGAUUCAGUCUGGCCAGCCCUGAAUUGCACUUGUGUUACUACAUACUUGCACACCCCACAUCUCCAACACUAACAUUAUGAGGUGAUCUGUAUUUGUCUGGAAAGAUUGGGAAUGGGUGCUGUAAGGUAUCUUUACAUUGCAGCUGUAAGGAACAUAUUCUGGACAGUUCCAGCACUUCAAAAAUCAUUAGAGUGUAUUAAAUCUGUAGCUGUGAAAUCCCUUUCUAGAUGGAAAACUGAAGUCUACAAGAUUUAUUUAUUUUAAAGACAGUGCUGAUGUAUUUAACAAUAUAUUGAAUACAGAAUGCUUUCUGUAAGCCACAGAUGGCUUCAAACAAUAGCUCAGACAACAGCUCCAAGAUCCGUCCAGUGAACCUCACUGGUUCAACUCAGAAACUUAAAGAUGGUUAUUCAAGUUACAGUAUUGUUAGCUACUUCUAUGUUAGUGUCUCUUUUGCAGAUUUUUUUUUUACUACUAGAACACAAUUAGCUCUAAUGUCUUUCACUGAUCAUUAAAUUUAUCUUAUCGCUAGCCUCAAGUUUGUAUGUCCCCAUUACUGACUGGAACCACAAACAUCUGUUGUGUAUUUAAAACAAGAGUGUAGUCUGAAUUAACUGUAUCAUAAAUCAGAACAAGUCUGACUUGUAUUAAUCCUCUGCAGAUGUGUUUUGUUUGUAAUGCUCAUCUCCUUUUAAGAAUCCGUUUGUGAAUUCUGUGGCAGCAGGACCAACUCAGUCAUUUGUGUAAUCCAUGCCUCCAUAAAACACAACAAGGGUAAGAAAUCUGGGUAUUAAAGUGAAGAUUUCAGUGCAUACAUCUAAAAAUAUUUUUCUCCUAAAUAAGUACAUAACUCAGCAAAAUAUCAGGAUGCUACUACAACAUGCACUGUAUGAAUACCUACUGGGUAAGAGUUAUUCCAGAGCUUAAAACUGAGCUGCUGUUUGAUAGUAAAAGCACAGAAGAGAGCUGUCUGCCUGUGGUGUUUGGCAGGAGACCUCGAAGUCUGUUGGAUACCAGUUCCUUUAGCACAGGUUUUGAAGGACAUAUCUGCCUACCAGCUGGGCUGUAUGGUCAAUAUUACUCCUCAUUUUUUAAUUAAUCAAUAAAUUUUUUUUUCUUUUUCUUUUUUUUCCCUACAAAUGGUGGUAUGGCUAGGAAAUUCAGCACUUUUACCAGGACACCUUCCGUUCAUCAUCACUUACCUUGCUUUGCUUUGAUCUCUCUCCCCAACCCUCACAAUCAUAUUCUCUGGAUCUGCUAAAGCAACAUUGGCCAGCUUGAAAUCUUUUCCUGUAAACACACUGCCUUUGCAAUAAGGUGUGAAGCACUGUCCAAAUACAAAGAACACGUGGACUGUUUGAAUAAGUAGCUGGGGCUUUGGCAGAGCUUUUGGAAGCCGUGAGCACUGAAGGUGCUGAGUGUCUCACUUUGUUCUAUUUCAGUUACAUCUUGUGGAUAGGCAAGACUGCAGGACGAGGUGAGAUCUGACCUACCACACUUGCUGGGACUGCACUUAAAUCACACAGCAGAAAUAAAGCUACUCAAGGGGUACUUUUAGGGGGUUCAACCC
Gallus gallus (chicken) is the source of this 3287-nucleotide long non-coding RNA. Lineage: Eukaryota; Metazoa; Chordata; Aves; Galliformes; Phasianidae. The record is from Ensembl.